GACGAACGCUGGCGGCGUGCUUAACACAUGCAAGUCGAACGGAAAGGCCCUGCUUUGGUGGGGUGCGCGAAUGGCGAACGGGUGAGUAACACGUGAGUAACCUGCCCUUGACUUUGGGAUAACUUCAGGAAACUGGGGCUAAUAGCGGAUAGGAGCUCCUGCUGCAUGGUGGGGGUUGGAAAGCUUCGGCGGUUGGGGAUGGACUCGCGGCUUAGCAGCUUGUUGGUGGGGUAGUGGCUUACCAAGGCGUUGACGGGUAGCCGGCCUGAGAGGGUGACCUGACACAUUGGGACUGAGCUACGGCCCAGACUCAUACGGGACGCAGCAGUGGGGAAUAUUGCACUAUGGGCGGAAGCCUGAUGCAGUAACGCCGCGUGCGGGAUGACGGCCUUCGGGUUGUAAACCGAUUUCGUCUGUGACGAAGCGUGAGUGACGGUAAUGGGUAAAGAAGCACCGGCUAACUACGUG
This 468-nucleotide ribosomal RNA is filed under the name uncultured bacterium. RNAcentral describes it as "partial 16S ribosomal RNA". It matches the Rfam family "Bacterial small subunit ribosomal RNA", at positions 28 to 507 of the family's 1533-position model. The record is from RNAcentral.